This is a non-coding RNA of Vicia faba (fava bean), 210 nucleotides long. The record is from the annotation of a GenBank genome assembly. NCBI's taxonomy places the organism in Eukaryota, Viridiplantae, Streptophyta, Magnoliopsida, Fabales, Fabaceae.
AUGCACUCAUCCCGAAUCCUCUUCGUGUCAGGACAAGCACAGCAGAUUUUCCUCUUCUUCGGCGUCUUCGAUACUUCACACGCUUUUUCUCUUGCUGCCAUUGUUGUUGCAUGCGCUGUUGCUUGGUUCAAAUCGGAUGAAGAAGCCGCGGCGGCGACGCCGUGCGUUGCUGUUGUUGCUGUUUGGUUCUCAGAUUCUGAAUUUCCUUGA